AACGAACGCUGGCGGCAGGCCUAACACAUGCGAGUCGAGCGCCCUUUCGGGGGAGCGGCGGACGGGUGAGUAACGCGUGGGAAUAUGCCCUUCUCUACGGAAUAGCCUCGGGAAACUGAGAGUAAUACCGUAUACGCCCUGUGGGGGAAAGAUUUAUCGGGGAAGGAUUAGUCCGCGUUGGAUUAGGUAGUUGGUGGGGUAAUGGCCUACCAAGCCGACGAUCCAUAGCUGGUUUGAGAGGAUGAUCAGCCACACUGGGACUGAGACACGGCCCAGACUCCUACGGGAGGCAGCAGUGGGGAAUCUUAGACAAUGGGGGCAACCCUGAUCUAGCCAUGCCGCGUGAGUGAUGAAGGCCUUAGGGUUGUAAAGCUCUUUCAGCUGGGAAGAUAAUGACGGUACCAGCAGAAGAAGCCCCGGCUAACUCCGUG
This 431-nucleotide ribosomal RNA is filed under the name uncultured bacterium. RNAcentral describes it as "partial 16S ribosomal RNA". It matches the Rfam family "Bacterial small subunit ribosomal RNA", at positions 29 to 507 of the family's 1533-position model. The record is from RNAcentral.